AAGUCGUGACAAGGUUUCCGUUGGUGAACCUGCGGAAGGAUCAUUAUAAGAAUCUCGCUGAGUCUGAGGCCCGACAGUGCGUCUCUCUUUGAAAAACAGGAGGUCGUAUCUUAGCCAGUUUCCUUGAAAAACAGGAGGUGGCACCUCUCACAUCUUCGAACCAAACUGUGAACCCAACUUUUGCUUCGGCAGCGUGGCCGGCCCCACUCGGUGCCCCGCCCGUCAGCCUGCCGGAAGCCCCCAAAAACCACGUCAAGAAUUUGUCAGAAAGUGAUUACAUGAAAAACAAGUUAAAA
This 296-nucleotide unclassified non-coding RNA is filed under the name plant metagenome. RNAcentral describes it as "partial contains small subunit ribosomal RNA and internal transcribed spacer 1". The stretch from base 1 to 46 matches the Rfam family "Eukaryotic small subunit ribosomal RNA". The record is from RNAcentral.